GACGAACGCUGGCGGCGUGCUUAACACAUGCAAGUCGAACGGAAAGGCCUCUUUCGGGGGGUACUCGAGUGGCGAACGGGUGAGUAACACGUGAGUAACCUGCCCUUGACUUUGGGAUAACUUCAGGAAACUGGGGCUAAUACCGGAUAGGAGCUCCUGCUGCAUGGUGGGGGUUGGAAAGUUUCGGCGGUUGGGGAUGGACUCGCGGCUUAUCAGCUUGUUGGUGGGGGAGUGGCUUACCAAGGCUUUGACGGGUAGCCGGCCUGAGAGGGUGACCGGCCACAUUGGGACUGAGAUACGGCCCAGACUCCUACGGGAGGCAGCAGUGGGGAAUAUUGCACAAUGGGUGGAAGCCUGAUGCAGCAACGCCGGGUGCGGGAUGACGGCCUUCGGGUUGUAAACCGCUUUCGCUCAUGACGAAGCUUUGUGUGACGGUAGUGGGUAAAGAAGCACCGGCUAACUACGUG
This 467-nucleotide ribosomal RNA is filed under the name uncultured bacterium. RNAcentral's name for it is "partial 16S ribosomal RNA". It matches the Rfam family "Bacterial small subunit ribosomal RNA", at positions 28 to 507 of the family's 1533-position model. The record is from RNAcentral.